GGCGGGGUUCCGGAGCGGUCAAACGGGCGUGGCUGUAAACCACGUGGCUCUGCCUUCGCAGGUUCGAAUCCUGCCCCCGCUA
This 82-nucleotide transfer RNA is filed under the name Solirubrobacteraceae bacterium. RNAcentral describes it as "tRNA-Tyr". It matches the Rfam family "tRNA". From Rfam's summary of the family: Transfer RNA (tRNA) molecules are approximately 80 nucleotides in length. Their secondary structure includes four short double-helical elements and three loops (D, anti-codon, and T loops). Lineage: Bacteria; Bacillati; Actinomycetota; Thermoleophilia; Solirubrobacterales; Solirubrobacteraceae. The record is from RNAcentral.